This 318-nucleotide non-coding RNA is filed under the name Nematostella vectensis (starlet sea anemone). RNAcentral's name for it is "Eukaryotic small subunit ribosomal RNA". It matches the Rfam family "Eukaryotic small subunit ribosomal RNA", at positions 93 to 323 of the family's 1831-position model. Lineage: Eukaryota; Metazoa; Cnidaria; Anthozoa; Actiniaria; Edwardsiidae. The record is from Rfam by way of RNAcentral.
AUGGCUCAUUAAAUCAGUUAUCGUUUAUUUGAUCGUACCUUUACUACUUGGAUAACCGUGGUAAUUCUAGAGCUAAUACAUGCGAAAAGUCCCGACUUCUGGAAGGGAUGUAUUUAUUAGAUUCAAAACCAAUGCGGGUUCUGCCCGGUCAUUUGGUGAUGAAGCUCCCACCUCGAUACAACGCUGAAAACAAAUUUGAGGACCAAUAAAUAUGUGUGUUAUUACUUGCAUUCUUCGUUGUGCGAGAUGAUUUAAAAAAAACACGUAUUUGAGUGAUUAUUUGAAUGGAUUAUAACUAGUCUUGCGUAAUCUUGUGUC